Trichechus manatus latirostris (Florida manatee) is the source of this 940-nucleotide long non-coding RNA. RefSeq lists it as uncharacterized. The record is from RefSeq and is a predicted model, not a curated record. The transcript is spliced from 3 exons. Lineage: Eukaryota; Metazoa; Chordata; Mammalia; Sirenia; Trichechidae.
UCAUUGGAAACCCUGGGGCAGUUCUACUCUGUCCUAUAGAGUCACUCUAAUCAAAAAUACAGUUGGCCAAAACAUAUGACAAGAUUUUCAGCAUUACUACUGAUCAAGAAACUGCAAAAUAAAACAGCAGGACCAAGAGGCACUUGGAAGGACUGUGAGAAAUGAGAACAAAUGGAAAAUGAGAGAACUGAGAACAAUUAGAAACGACUGAAGAAACUUGAUGAGAGUGGCAUGAAGAGAAGGAAUGGGACUGGCAGGGACCUAGAGCCACAGGCAAAACAGCCUGUUAACAUUGAGCAAGGUCCCUGUGGGAAGAAUGAGGUUUGUUAGCAAAGAGGAAACACUCUUUUUCAGCGUGAUAUUAACUGUGCCUUUGCAGAGUUCUUUUACUUCCUCUCAUCUUGGCUCUUGUUAUUACAUUGUCAUUUGCUUUUAAAAGCAAUCUGAGAUCUCUGAAGACUUCUUAGUCUGAAGCUUCUGAUGGCCAGUGGUUUGUAUCUUUCCCAUGUGAUCCUAAAGUUCAAAAUACACUUUUCCACUGCCUUUAGUAGAACUUUUCUUUGUCACUCUCGUGGCUCAGGAAGCUGUCCUAAAUCCUGGGAGGGCAUAAACGGAGGCUGUCUCUGCAAGAGACUGCAGAUAUGUAUAAGGGAGUGCGGGCCCCAAGGCUCUUCACUUCCCUCUUGGCUUGAGGUGGGUGUUAUUUUAGGAAGUAGAAGGUCCUUAUGAUCACUGGCUUUCUGUGUGGUUCAUGCAGUUUUCCACAUAGUGAAUCACAGAGCAACUCAGAGAGAAAGGAUCUGCAGAGGAGGACUCUGAGAUCUGAAGGCUUAGGGUCCUGGAAAAAUAAAAAUGAAUUCAAGUCUUCAGCUAACUAGGAUUGGGAGCUAACUGUUUGGAGGGUGUGUUGGCGGUUCAGUUGUAGGAUUUUUGCCUUCCG